CGCGGUAAUUCCAGCUCCAAUAGCGUAUAUUAAAGUUGUUGCAGUUAAAAAGCUCGUAGUCGAAUUUCUGGUGGGAGAAUGUGGUCCAACACAGUUGGUACUGGCAGUCUCCGGCCAUCCUUGGGUUUAGCCAUUCUGGCAUUAGGUUGUCGGGGCGGGGAUGCCCAUCGUUUACUGUGAAAAAAUUAGAGUGUUCAAAGCAGACUUAUGUCGUUGAAUAUAUUAGCAUGGAAUAAUAAGAUAGGACUACAGUGCUAUUUUGUUGGUUUGCGCACCGUGGUAAUGAUGAAUAGGGACAGUUGUGGGUAUUCGUAUUCACUUGUAAGAGGUGAAAUUCUUAGAUUAAGGGAAGACGAACUACUGCGAAAGCAUUUACCAAGGAUGUUUUCAUUGAUCAAGAACGAAAGUGUGGGGAUCGAAGAUGAUUAGAUACCGUCGUAGUCUACACCAUAAACUAUGCCGACUCAGGAUGGGCGGGUGUCUCUUGACCUCGUCUGCACUGUAUGUGAAAACAAAGUCUUUGGGUUCCGGGGGGAGUAUGGUCGCAAGGCUGAAACUUAAAGAAAUUGACGG
Molecule: ribosomal RNA, 573 nt
Filed under: uncultured diatom
Lineage: Eukaryota; Bacillariophyta
Description: SSU rRNA
Rfam family: Eukaryotic small subunit ribosomal RNA
Source: RNAcentral